This 1436-nucleotide ribosomal RNA is filed under the name uncultured organism. RNAcentral's name for it is "16S ribosomal RNA". It matches the Rfam family "Bacterial small subunit ribosomal RNA". The record is from RNAcentral.
CAGGCUUAACACAUGCAAGUCGAGGGGCAGCAUGGUCUUAGCUUGCUAAGGCCGAUGGCGACCGGCGCACGGGUGAGUAACGCGUAUCCAACCUGCCUUACACUCUUGGACAGCCUUCUGAAAGGGAGAUUAAUACAAGAUGUUAUCAUGAGUAAGCAUUUUCACAUGAUUAAAGGUUUACCGGUGUAAGAUGGGGAUGCGUUCCAUUAGAUAGUAGGCGGGGUAACGGCCCACCUAGUCUUCGAUGGAUAGGGGUUCUGAGAGGAAGGUCCCCCACAUUGGAACUGAGACACGGUCCAAACUCCUACGGGAGGCAGCAGUGAGGAAUAUUGGUCAAUGGACGAGAGUCUGAACCAGCCAAGUGGCGUGAAGGAUGAAGGUUCUAUGGAUUGUAAACUUCUUUUAUACGGGAAUAAACGAAUCCACGUGUGGAUUUUUGCAUGUACCGUAUGAAUAAGGAUCGGCUAACUCCGUGCCAGCAGCCGCGGUAAUACGGAGGAUCCGAGCGUUAUCCGGAUUUAUUGGGUUUAAAGGGAGCGUAGAUGGGUUGUUAAGUCAGUUGUGAAAGUUUGCGGCUCAACCGUAAAAUUGCAAUUGAUACUGGCAGUCUUGAGUACAGUUGAGGUAGGCGGAAUUCGUGGUGUAGCGGUGAAAUGCUUAGAUAUCACGAAGAACUCCGAUUGCGAAGGCAGCUUACUAACCUGUAACUGACAUUGAUGCUCGAAAGUGUGGGUAUCAAACAGGAUUAGAUACCCUGGUAGUCCACACGGUAAACGAUGAAUACUCGCUGUAGGCGAUAUACAGUCUGCGGCCAAGCGAAAGCAUUAAGUAUUCCACCUGGGGAGUACGCCGGCAACGGUGAAACUCAAAGGAAUUGACGGGGGCCCGCACAAGCGGAGGAACAUGUGGUUUAAUUCGAUGAUACGCGAGGAACCUUACCCGGGCUUAAAUUGCAACCGAAUAUGGCGGAAACGCUAUAGCUAGCAAUAGCGGUUGUGAAGGUGCUGCAUGGUUGUCGUCAGCUCGUGCCGUGAGGUGUCGGCUUAAGUGCCAUAACGAGCGCAACCCUUGCCGAUAGUUACUAACAGGUCAUGCUGAGGACUCUGUCGGGACUGCCAUCGUAAGAUGUGAGGAAGGUGGGGAUGACGUCAAAUCAGCACGGCCCUUACGUCCGGGGCUACACACGUGUUACAAUGGGGGGUACAGAGGGCUGCUACCACGCAAGUGGAUGCCAAUCCCAAAAACCUCUCUCAGUUCGGAUUGAAGUCUGCAACCCGACUUCAUGAAGCUGGAUUCGCUAGUAAUCGCGCAUCAGCCACGGCGCGGUGAAUACGUUCCCGGGCCUUGUACACACCGCCCGUCAAGCCAUGGGAGCCGGGGGUACCUGAAGUGCGUAACCGCAAGGAGCGCCCUAGGGUAAAACUGGUGACUGGGGC